Molecule: ribosomal RNA, 99 nt
Filed under: Enterococcus faecalis
Lineage: Bacteria; Bacillati; Bacillota; Bacilli; Lactobacillales; Enterococcaceae
Description: partial 16S ribosomal RNA
Rfam family: Bacterial small subunit ribosomal RNA
Source: RNAcentral
UUUUAUUAUGAGAGUUUGAUCCUGGCUCAGGACGAACGCUGGCGGCGUGCCUAAUACAUGCAAGUCGAACGCUUCUUUCUUCCCGAGUGCUUGCACUCA